This 251-nucleotide ribosomal RNA is filed under the name uncultured prokaryote. RNAcentral describes it as "partial 16S rRNA". It matches the Rfam family "Bacterial small subunit ribosomal RNA", at positions 525 to 775 of the family's 1533-position model. The record is from RNAcentral.
ACGAAGGUGGCAAGCGUUGUUCGGAAUCACUGGGCUUAAAGAGCACGUAGGCGGGCCGUCUUGCGUCCUGUGAAAUCCCCCGGCCCAACCGGGGAAUGGCAGGGCGAACGGGCGGUCUUGAGGCAGGUAGAGGUGUGGGGAACUCUUGGUGGAGCGGUGGAAUGCGUAGAUAUCAAGAGGAACGCCGGAGGCGAAGGCGCCGCACUGGGCCUGUCCUGACGCUGAGGUGCGAAAGCCAGGGGAGCAAACGG